UCUCCGUAGGUGAACCUGCGGAGGGAUCAUUACUGAGUGAGGGCCUCCGGUCCGACCUCCAACCCUUUGUGAACCAACACUGUUGCUUCGGGGGCGACCCUGCCGACGACUUCGUCGCCGGGCGCCCCCGGAGGUCUUCUAAACACUGCAUCUUUGCGUCGGAGUUUAAACAAAUUAAACAAAACUUUCAACAACGGAUCUCUUGGUUCUGGCAUCGAUGAAGAACGAAGC
This 231-nucleotide unclassified non-coding RNA is filed under the name uncultured fungus. Its description in RNAcentral is "sequence contains ITS1, 5.8S rRNA gene". The stretch from base 183 to 231 matches the Rfam family "5.8S ribosomal RNA", at positions 1 to 49 of the family's 154-position model. Lineage: Eukaryota; Fungi. The record is from RNAcentral.